UACCUGGAUUCUGUGUUUUGCUUUCAAACUAAGGUUCUUCUAGCCCAAUUAUUUUCUGAUGUCUUUCUUCUUCUUCUCCUCGGGAUUUAUAGCUAAGUGCAGCCAAUCAAAUAUUAACCCAUUAUACUAGGGCAAAAUUCCACUUUGGGAUCAUGCGGCUCUUCUGGCAGUUACCCUAUCUUAGAGUUGGAUGGAGAUCUUAAAUUAGGUUCUAACUACUCUAGUCUCAAAAUUCCCAUGGGUGAUGUUUUCAUAGCUUCGCUUUCCCACUGUAGCUUAAACAUACCAGAAUGUUCUUGAUGGCCAAAUUGGUAGUAUUACAACUAACUGCCAGGGUUACAAAGCUCACAGAAGGAUCUCAGUUUGGGAAUACUAAUUUUUUUUAACCUCAGUAUACUGCUAUGUCCUUUUGAAAGUACUUUGAAUUAUACCAUCUUCUUCAAAGCAAGUCCGUGAAGCUUUGGGGGCAGAUACAUUCCAGCUCCACCACUUACUGGCAAUGCAACAUUUUUGAGUUGUUCUUUCCAUAGAACAGGACAGAUACUACUUUGGAGAGUUGGUUUAAUGAGACAAUGUAUGAGGAGUGCUCAGUCUCUAGUAAAAGGUAGAUCCCUACUAAAAGGCUCAACGAAUAUUAGUCCCUUCAUCUUCUCCUCCCGUAUAUCUGGUCUCCCAUUAUACACAUUUCGACUUUUAUACUGUAAGGUAAAGAGACGGCUUAGGGCUUAGGAAACAAACUCAAAAAGACAUUUCCCUCUAACUGCUCUUUAGCAUAAUCUUUCCUGUAACAUCUUUAAGCAAGUCAACACACAUUAUUACCAAUCAUGUUUUCAAUGUUCUCCUAAGGAGGCUAAAAUCAGGAAUGAGGUGAAGUAUGGUUGGUGAAUUGCUUAGCAGAUCAUGGUAUAAGGACAAGAUCCAUUGUAGCCCUUAAGUUGUCAUAAAACGCCACAAAACCAUUCAUGACUCCUGCUACGAACAACAAUCCUGGCCAAAUUUUAAUUCUUGCACAAACUGCAGAAAAUAGCCAACGCUUUGCCAUUGAUCUUUGGGAUCUUAAUAAUACUGAAUUAGAUAGUUCUAUCGGCUGGAGUCUCAGUGCCCUUGUUUGAAAUUUAUUAAGAUUAGACGGCAGAUGUUCCAAAGAUACAACAAUUUUCUGAAAUGUGUAACCAAUGGAAAUUUUCUUUCUUUUAGGGUUGGGUUGAUAAUCUAAAUGGAUGUAGCCGACUCAUUAUUGCGGUAUGUGUAGGGAUGAAGAAGUAACUGUAAUGUAGUGGAGGAAUAGUAACAAAAUUCUUAGUGCUGGCUUAGCUUCAUUGAUCCAAAAACAUAAAUGCUACUUUACUAUCAAUUGAAGCAUAUUAUUUCAAUUAUUCUGGUUAUAAUAUGGAGGCAGGAUGAAAUUAUUUUUAUUCUUUUAGAAUUUUUUUAUCAGGAAAAGAGAGGUAAAGUGCUAUCAAUUACUAUUUAAGAGUUCUAUUUUGAAAAGUGAGAAUUAAGGAUUUUUCUUUUCUUUUUAAAAAAACGUUUUUAAAAAUUAAAAAUAAAACAAGCAAAAGUCUUAUGAAAAUGAAGCAAGUAGCCCUGCCACUCUAUGUACAGUAAUAACAAUAUUUGUCACAGUUAUUAUGUACAAUAUUAUAAAAAAUGUCACAUACAGUGCAAAUUAAGGCCCUUAUUUCUCAAAGGACAUCAAGUCUUAUGCCCCGUGGGAGGGAAGAUGCCACUUAAUUAUUGCGCCAUUUUGAAAAACAGAACUCGUCAAGGCAGGUAGUGGUCUUUUCCCACCUGGUCUUCAGUCACAGAUGGGGGCUGGGGCGGUGGCGUCGUCUUCGUCGUCGAGGUAGACCCUAUGUAGCCACAUCGCCCUGCCCGGUUCUCUGGGUGCAAUAAAUACCAGUCACAGUUUGGGAGGGGGCCCUGUGCAGGUGGGCGGAGGCCUCUGGGCUGCAUGUGCUGCUUCCUGUGCAGGGCAAGGUGGGCAGAGCGCAAGAAGGCGCGGUGGCACCAAUGGCCCUGAAAUGGCCAGUGGCCCCUGUGCUUGUGGUGGUGGAGCGUUAGCUUGUCUGAGUGAGCACGCUUCCAGCUGCUUCCUUCCUAGUGGCAGUGGUCGGGCUUGUCACUUGUGUGCUGCGCAGAUGUGCCUGCAGGUGAGAAUUCUUGUGGUAGGUCUUGCGGUUGCGGCAUCGGUAUGCCUGGUGUUGCAGUUCCCAGGCCAGGAGCAGCUGCCACGCUUGGGCUUGGCCUCCAGCAGCUCCAGCGGGGACGCCGGUGCCACCACAAGGAGACCGCGGGCGACUGGGGGUGCCAGGCCCAGGGCUGUGGCGGUGGCGGCCACCGCCUAAGAGACUAAAGACAGGGGCGUGGAGGGGUGGAGCUGGGUGGGGGGCGCCUCAUGAAGGCCGGGCUGGGUGUCCCAAGCCAGGGCCACGGAAGGGCAGCGGGAAGGAGGCGUGCGGGCCUUAGGGGUUGAGGGGCGGGUGUUGGGGGUGGCGUGGGAGGGACCCAGGACCUCGCAUGCAUGAAGCCGCAGGCCUGGGGCGCCCUAGUGUUUGAGGACGCGCGGUCCAUGUCUGAACCUGGGUACGCAGCCGUAGCCACCGCCAUCCGCUUCAGGGGGCUGGGCAGCGCCAAUUGAAAGCGGUUGAGCAGGCCGGGCGCGGUGGCUCACGCCUGUAAUCCCAGCACUUUGGGAGACCAAGGCGGGCCGAUCACGGGGUCAGGAGGUCGAGACCAUCCUGGCUAACACGGUGAAACCCCGUCUCUACUAAACAUACAAAAAAAAAAAAAAGUAGCCGGGCGUGGUGGCGGGCGCCUGUAGUCCCAGCACUUUGGAAGGCUGAGGCGGGCGGAUCACGAGGCCAGGAGAUGGAGAACAUCCUGGCUAACAGGUGAAACCCCGUCUCUACUAAAAGUACAAAAAAACAAUUAGCCGGGUGCGGUGGCGGGCUCCUGUAGUCCCAGCUACUCCGGAGGCUGAGGCAGGAGAAUGGCGUGAACCCAGGAGAUGGAGCUUGCACUGAGCCGAGAUCAAGCGGAGAUCGCGCCACUGCACUCUAGCCUGGGCGACACAAGGAGACUCCAUCUCAAAACAACAACAACAACAACAACAACAAAAACCAGCUGAGCAGCGCGGGCCGUCUGGCAGCGGGUCCAGCUCCAGAGCGCCGUAGGGCAGCGGCGUGCAGUGUUCGGGUAAUAGGACGCAGACGGCGGGGUCGCCGGGGUCUUCGACGUGGCCUCGGCCCCAGGCCAUCCAGCCCUGUGGACCGAAUGGAGUCCCGCACGCGUUGAGGUAGUUGUGGGUUCCCCUGGCCUCCGGCUGGGCGCGGGGUCAGCGCGCCUGCAGGCGGCGCUUGCGGUACGGGCUGGUGAAAGUGGAGACGGACGGCAGGAUGGAUUCACUUGGCGACAUGGCGGGAAGCUGGGAACACGGACACCGGUGAGUGGCUGCCCGGGAGGGCUGGUCGGGGCUCGGACAGGCGGGCAUGGUUCUGCCAAGGAUUUUGCUUUAUUUAUCGCAAGAUGGGGGUAUUUCCUCCUUUCUGCAGUUUAUAAUUGCAUGAAUUAGUGCAGUGAAUUGAGGAUGCAGUAAAAAUAUCUUCAAAGAUUAUUAAAUUCGUUAUUAUAAAACACAUAGAAGAGUUUAUGUGUGUGUAUGGAAAGCAGGUAUACAUCAAUAAUUCUUAAUGAAUACAGGAAAGAACUACCAAUAUUGGAGCAAAUUUUUCAAAUACAAACAUCAGUAAAUAUAAGCAAGGCCUUUUCUUUUUUAUUAUUCUAUUAUAAGUUCUAGGGUACAUGUGCGCAACUUGCAGGUUUGUUACAUAGGUAGACAUGUGCCGGCAACGCCUUUUCAAUAAUGUCUUACAAGGAGAAACGUGGCUCCUCUAGGUAAGCAGACCUCAGUGCGCAUCUCCCUGAAGUCCAGAUUGAUCCGGCAGAGCUGUGGGGUUCACAGCUGACACUGAGGCAUUCAGGGCCUAAACCCCACUUUACUCUUUUGUACAAUGAAUAGGACAUCAGUGAUCUAAAAGAGUUUAAAUCUUAUUAGGGAUUCAGACUGCCCUUCAGACUCUGUCUCUAUUCCUCCCAGAGCUGGGUUCAACAUGAAUUCAAAUACAAAUAUGAGACAAUGAAUUAUGGUAGUGACAAAGACCUUCCUUCGAAUUUCGGAUUUUUCUAGCAGCCCCUUUCUUUCUGCUUCCCACCUGCCUUCAACUCUUUCUCCUAAAAAAGUUCAGUUGGGGUGAACGUUUGGUGACUUAGAACAUCAUUAUUUUAACGUGAUCCCAAAGCGGUUUUCAUUAUAUGCAAAGCUGUAUAUUUAUUUACAUUUUAAAAAAUGUUCUAAAUUGGUUUCUUAUGUCCAAAAGAAGGGGAGCUACUUAUAAGAAAAGAGAAUUGAGUAACAUAAGAAAGUGCUAAUCAUUUCAAAUUAAAGUGGGAAACAUGCAAAGCAGAAAGAAUCAAUUUCAUAAACUCAACAAAUUAUUAACAUAAAUAAUUCCAAACUCUUGUAUCUAUAUAACAUCAGUGAUCUGUGAGGUGAAAUGAGAUUCUGAAGAAAAAGUAAAUAAUAAGGCCAUUUUUCUUAGCCAAAAAGUUUUUGUCAUUAAUUGUGGAAUUUCACCAAUCAAUUUUUUUCAAAUAAAAGUUUCUUAAACUUUUAGUGCCUACUAUUGCUUGUAGGUUAAUAAGCCCUAGCAGAAAACAAAAUCAUUAAUGAAAUGGAAAACAAACAUUAAUGGGAAAUUUGUGUAACCUUAAUUCUUAACGUGUCUUAUGAAUUAAUUUUUAAAAUGUGAAGGUUUAUUCUUGGUGUUUGGUAAUUAAGUUUAUCAAUCUCUCACAAAUAUGAGGAAUUUGAUUCCCUAAAGGAACGUGAGGACCAUGAGUAGUUCAAGAAAAUGCUGAAGAUGCGCUUGGCUGGGAAGCUAGGAUAGGCUGACGAAGUCAGACUUAGUGUGGGAACCUGGCUGGGAAAGGGUUUCUUCUGGCCAUAAAAGCUACUCCAAUGGCUGUGGGAGACUUAAUUCCAAUUCCAGGUGAUACAGCCGUCAAUCUCCCACUAGCUGUAGGAUGGUGUGCUGCAGUUCACAGGGCAAAGGAGAUAGAAGUGGAUGAAAUGAGAGAGUAUUUUUUUAAUUGAACUCUGAUUAAUGCCAAAAGUGUUCAAUCACUAUGUGUGGGGAAGUUUCCUGGUACAAAGAAAAAAAAAAAACAGGUUGUUCAUACACUUGGCUGUGUUAGUAAGUGGUAAACAGAAUUAAACUUUUCUUAUGUGAACUCACACAUGUGUGCUUCAUAAUAUGUCACUCCUAUUUAACAUCUCUUUCACACAAACAGGCAUCCCCUGCCACGCACACCCUUUUGCUAGUCUUCUUCCAUUUUGCUUAUUAACCCAAAGAAAGAAAAAAGUACAGAAGCCUUCUUGCAUAGGUUGCCUUAAUCAGAUGAAUUAUUGAAACCACUCUGUCUAAAUAUUAUUUUCCCUUAUUUUUCUUUCAUUAGUUUUCCAUUCUGUUGUAUUUAUUUAAUUUUUAUUUCAUUUUCCAGACCUAAGUCAAUGUUAGUCUACCACUGUACAUCUGGUAACCUCAAUCCCUGCAACCGAGGCAAAAUGGGAUUCCAGGUCUUGGCAACCUUUGAAAUUCCAAUUCCAUUUGCAAGAGCUUUGAGGAGGCCAUAUGCUGAUUUCACCACCAGCAACUUCACAACCCAGUACUGGAAUGCCAUCAGCCAGCAGGCCCCUGCCAUCAUCUGUGACUUCUAUCUGUGGCUCACUGGAAGGAAACCCAGCUACCGAAGGAAGAUACCCUCAUCAACCCAAUUUUACAAAUGGAGAAAUAGAAGCUAAGGGAAGAAUCUGAAGUAAUCGCAAAGGCAGUGACAGAAAGGAUGUGGAGAAAGCUGACUGUCACAGUCAGUAUUCAGGACCGGAUUUACUGCUACUUAGAGAUGAAUGAAGAAAUCCGAGUGAACGCAGUGUGCUGAUGCUAAAGCAGCUGUCGCCACCCAGCUGUGUGACAUAGGACAUUCUUUCUCUGUCUCACUUGAAUAAUAUGAUGUGUCAGAGGAGAUAUGAUUGUAAUUGCCUAAAUCAAUUUUUGUGAUCAAGAAUCAGGAGCAUGAACAGUAUUGCUCUCUGUGUUAGCCCCUUUAUAAGGGAGGAAGUCGUCUUCAGCAUGUUGAAUUGUCAUCUUUCUUAGCAGUGCAAAUGACUAAAACUUAGCCAAUGUAGAGUUUAUCCAAACUUGGAGCAAAGUGAAAAGAAAACAUUGUGAUUACGGGGAAAAUAUUUGUAUGGGACUAUUAAAUAAAGACACAAAAAGAAGAAAACCCAAAUAUUAUAGGCAGAAAUGCUAAAGGUUAUAAAAUAUAUCAGGAUUGUAAGAAGGCAUGGAUAAAGAACAAAGUUCAGUUAGGAAAGAGAAACACAGAAGGAAGAGACACAAUAAAAGUCAUUAUGUAUUCUGUGAGAAGUCAGUAAGAUUUGUGGGGAACGGGUUGGUUUGUUGUAUGGUAUGUAUUUCAGCAAUAAUCUUUAUGGCAGAGAAAGCUAAAAUCCCUUAGCUUGUGUGAAUGAUCACUUGCAGAAUUCCUCAAGGUAGGCAUGAUGAAGGAGGGUUUAGAGGAGACACAGACACAAUGAACUGAACUAGAUAGAAAGCCUUAGUGUACUCAGCUAGGAAUAGUGAUUCUGAGGACACACUGUGACCUGAUUAUGUCAUUACAUGUAUGGUAGUGAUGGGGAUGAUGGAAGCUUUGUCCAGGCCUGUGUGUGAACCCAAUGUUUUUUUAGAAAUAGAACAAGUAAGUGCAUUGCUAUAGCAUAACACAAAAUUUGUUUAAGUGGUGGUCAGCAAAUCCUUGAAUGCUGCUUAAUGUGACGAGGUUGGUAAAGUCGUUUGUGCAACACUCUUACUCCCUGAAUGUUUUGCUGUGCUGGGGCCUGUGCAUGCCAGACAAGGCCAAGCUGGCUGAAAGAGCAACCAGCCACCUCUGCAACCUGCCACCUCCUGCUGGCAGGAUUUGUUUUUGCAUCCUGUGAAGAGCCAAGGAGGCACCAAGGCAUAAGUCUACUCACUUAUAUCUGUUUGUCUGGAACAUAACCCAUGUUUGUUUUUACCACAAAUAAAAUUGAUCUUGAAUAAAAA
Molecule: RNA transcript, 7163 nt
Organism: Pan troglodytes (chimpanzee)
Lineage: Eukaryota; Metazoa; Chordata; Mammalia; Primates; Hominidae
Gene name: putative inactive fatty acyl-CoA reductase 2-like protein
Exons: 5
Source: RefSeq, a predicted model, not a curated record